UUGUUUUGGGGUGUGUGUGUGUGUGUGUGUGUGUGUGUGUGUGUGAUCUUGCUGUUGGGUACUGGUGGUUUUAAUAUUAUUCUUACUUAAUAAUCUAGAAACUUUUUUUUCUUUUUCUGUGCCCUGAAAUAGUUGAAACAGCAGUGGAGAGAUCUAUCGCUUAAAGAUUUGGCAGAAUUCGAGGGAGUCAACCUCAGCCUGCUGCUGGCGCCUGCGAAGAGGAUCUUGGGGACUCAGACGGUCUGUGACAUCGCAGUUGUCCAGCAAGGCGAUUUCGGUGGUGCUGACCUCAGUGAAGAAGCGUCCAAUGUGAUGGAGAACGGGUGUCAGAGAAGAUGAGGAACAACCAAGGAGGAGCUGGUGCCCAGAAACUCCAGGCUGCCCAAGCCACUGACUGCUGUGAGCGGCUCUUCUGUCUGGCUCCCUAUUCCUCCCUGUCCACAGGAGGCUGAGAGGUACCCCCUACCCUGAGUUUCACGAGGAUGUCAGCGGGAAGGGGAACAGGUAAGUUGCGCAGUCUGAUUUGGCAGGACCUGCACUAGGCCCUGGUGA
RNAcentral lists this long non-coding RNA (552 nucleotides) under Fukomys damarensis (Damara mole-rat). RNAcentral describes it as "lncRNA (ENSFDAG00000027483.1)". Lineage: Eukaryota; Metazoa; Chordata; Mammalia; Rodentia; Bathyergidae. The record is from RNAcentral.